GCCCGCCUAGCUCAAUCGGCCAGAGCGUCAGACUUUUAUCCGUUACAAGCGGAAGGGCAUCUGAAGGCUGCGAGUUCGACCCUCGCGGUGGGCU
Molecule: non-coding RNA, 94 nt
Organism: Trametes elegans
Lineage: Eukaryota; Fungi; Basidiomycota; Agaricomycetes; Polyporales; Polyporaceae
Source: the annotation of a GenBank genome assembly